GGACUACUCGGGUUUCUAAUCCUGUUUGCUCCCCACGCUUUCGUGCCUCAGCGUCAGUAGUGGUCCAGAAAGCCGUCUACACCGCAGGUGUUCCUCCUGAUAUCUACGCAUUUCACCGCUACACCAGGAAUUCCACUUUCCUCUCCCACACUCUAGCCAGGCAGUUUCCGGCGCACCCUCCCAGUUAAGCCAGGAGAUUUCACACCAGACUUGCCCGACCGCCUACGCACUCUUUACGCCCAGUAAUUCCGAACAACGCUCGCUGCCUACGUAUUACCGCGGCUGCUGGCAC
Molecule: ribosomal RNA, 292 nt
Filed under: uncultured Acidobacteriota bacterium
Lineage: Bacteria; Pseudomonadati; Acidobacteriota
Description: uncultured Acidobacteria bacterium partial 16S ribosomal RNA
Source: RNAcentral